UACGAGGGGGCUAGCGUUGUUCGGAAUUACUGGGCGUAAAGCGAGUGUAGGUGGUUGUCCAAGUUGGAUGUGAAAGCCUUGAGCUCAACUCAAGAAAUGCAUUCAGGACUGGGCGGCUAGAGGACCGGAGAGGAUAGUGGAAUUCCCAGUGUAGUGGUGAAAUACGUAGAGAUUGGGAAGAACACCAGUGGCGAAGGCGGCUAUCUGGACGGUUUCUGACACUAAGACUCGAAAGCGUGGGGAGCAAACAGG
RNAcentral lists this ribosomal RNA (252 nucleotides) under uncultured bacterium. RNAcentral's name for it is "partial 16S ribosomal RNA". It matches the Rfam family "Bacterial small subunit ribosomal RNA", at positions 524 to 776 of the family's 1533-position model. The record is from RNAcentral.